This 300-nucleotide signal recognition particle RNA is filed under the name Aotus nancymaae (Ma's night monkey). Its description in RNAcentral is "Metazoan signal recognition particle RNA (ENSANAG00000012588.1)". It matches the Rfam family "Metazoan signal recognition particle RNA". Rfam says of the family: The signal recognition particle (SRP) is a universally conserved ribonucleoprotein. It is involved in the co-translational targeting of proteins to membranes. The record is from RNAcentral. Lineage: Eukaryota; Metazoa; Chordata; Mammalia; Primates; Aotidae.
GCGGUGGCGCGGUGGCGCGUGCCUGUAGUCCCAGCUACUCGGGAGGCUGAGGUGGGAGGAUCACUUGAGCCCAGGAGUUCUGGGCUGUAGUGUGCUAUGCCGAUCGGGUGUCUGCACUAAGUUCGGCAUCAAUAUGGUGACCUCCCGGGAGCGGGGGACCACCAGGUUGCCUAAGGAGGGAUAAACUGGCCCAGGUCGGAAACGGAGCAGGUCAAAACUCCCAUGCUGAUCAGUAGUGGGAUUGUGCCUAUGAAUAGCCACUGCACUCCAGCCUGGGCAACAUAGCGAGACCCUGUCUCU